UCCCCACCCCUUGGUCUCCCAGG
RNAcentral lists this microRNA (23 nucleotides) under Eptesicus fuscus (big brown bat). Its description in RNAcentral is "efu-miR-9272". Lineage: Eukaryota; Metazoa; Chordata; Mammalia; Chiroptera; Vespertilionidae. The record is from miRBase by way of RNAcentral.